UACGUAGGGGGCGAGCGUUGUCCGGAUUUAUUGGGCGUAAAGAGCUCGUAGGCGGUUUGGUAAGUCGGGUGUGAAAUCUCCACGCUCAACGUGGAGGGGCCACUCGAUACUGCCAUGACUCGAGUCCGGUAGAGGAGUGUGGAAUUCCCGGUGUAGCGGUGAAAUGCGCAGAUAUCGGGAGGAACACCCGUAGCGAAGGCGGUUCUCUGGGACGGUACUGACGCUGAGACGCGAAAGCGUGGGGAGCGAACAGG
Molecule: ribosomal RNA, 254 nt
Filed under: uncultured bacterium
Lineage: Bacteria
Description: partial 16S ribosomal RNA
Rfam family: Bacterial small subunit ribosomal RNA
Source: RNAcentral